UUGAUAAGCGUGAGGUCGGAGGUUCAAGUCCUCCCAGGCCCACCAAUUUACCUAUCCAUUUGCCUUUAUCCGUUUAUUUGCCGAUUUAUCGGUCCAUUGAAUUUAAGUGUUGGUAGCAGUUUUUAUAAUGAUGAGAAAUCAUGCUUAUAAAAGAACUCCUUAUAAAAGGCUUGUUUUUAAAAUGUGACGCUUAUCCAUUUCGCUUAGGCAAGAGAAACUUCAAGCGGUUCAAAUGCAAAAGGUUUUAAAUUUUGCAAAACAAUUUAAAUUUUAAAGUGAUCCAAGUUCGUGAUCUCGAAUUUAAAAGUUUCGAAUGCUUUAUCCUUUUUUGGGGGCCGUAGCUCAGCUGGGAGAGCACCUGCUUUG
RNAcentral lists this unclassified non-coding RNA (366 nucleotides) under uncultured Bartonella sp. RNAcentral describes it as "partial 16S-23S ribosomal RNA intergenic spacer". The record is from RNAcentral. Lineage: Bacteria; Pseudomonadati; Pseudomonadota; Alphaproteobacteria; Hyphomicrobiales; Bartonellaceae.